AGAGGGGCAGAGGAGGCUUGGGGUGAGAAAGAAUGGGAAGGGGUGUCGGGAAAGAGAAGCGGGGGUGAGGGUCAGAGGGUGGGAGAUUAGGAAAGGGGAGGGGAAGGGGAGAACGAGAGGGAAAAGGGGGGGAUCAAUCCCUGUGCAGGAGCAUCCUGCCGUUCUUGAGAUUAAAAUCUGAGACAGCUCCGGCAUCAGGCAGCGAGAGAGCAGCAUCGAACGCUGUGUUCCGAGAUAUCAUGUAGCAAGCAUCCUGGAUAGAAUAGAGUACUGCUGGCUUUGAAGAAGCUAGGGGAGGGAGAUGGCAAGAAGUGGGAGGGAGAGAGCGAAAGAGAGUGAGCGAGCUAGAUAGAGGGAGAAAGAAAGAGAUCUUAGCAGAAAGAUUAGGGUGGUUUAGCAAGGGUAAAUAUAAACUAUAGCGAAGCAGGAAUAGAGAGAAACUGGGGGCACAGACAGGGGGAGGGGGGCUAAGGAGGGGGCUCUGUCCGCCGGGUUAACCCACAGUCGAUCUUGGGGGAUUGACUGAGGAGGACGCCUGGGUCUCUGAAACAAAAGGAUACACGCCGGGUGUGAAAAUGGAGGUGGAGUAUGGUAACUAGAGAAUGAUGGGACGGGGCUUGAAGAUCUUUAUAUCGGCUGCCAGACGGAGGGAGAUGCUGGAGUGUAUUUGGGAUGGUGUCAGCACGAACUGAAUGUUUUCUGCAAUGUCACAGUAACCUCGUCGGUUGUACAGAUCACAUUGACCCCUUCUCCUGGAGUAUGAAAAUAUUUGGCAAUGGUCCCCAGAACCUCAAAAAGUUCUACAGCUGCACCAUCGAGAGCAUUACUGGUUGCAUCACUGCCUGGUAUGGCAACAGCUCGGCAUCUGACCGUAAGGCACUAUGGAGGGUAGUGCAUACGGCCCAGUACAUCACUGGGGUCAAGCUUCCUGCCAUCCAGGACCUCUAUACCAGGCGGUGUCAGAGGAAGGCCCCAAGAAUUGUUAAAGACUCCAGUCACCAAAGUCAUAGACUGUUCUCUCUGCUACUGCACAGAAAACAGUACCAGAGCGCCAAGUCUAGGACCAAAAGCCCCCCCCCCCAAUUUGUUUUUACACUGCUGCUACUCACUGUUUAUUAUCUGCAUAGUCACUUAACCCCUACCUACAUGUACAAAUUACCUCAACUAACCUGUACCCCCACACAUUGACUCGGUACCGGUACCCCCUUUAUAUAGUCUCAUUAUUUUAUUGUGCUACUUUUAAUUAUUUAUUUGUUAAAUAUUUUCUUAAUUCUUUCUUGAACUGCAUUGUUGAUUAAGUUAAGGGCUUGUAAGUAAGCAUUUCACUGUAAGGUGAAUGAAUACCUGUUGUAUUCGGCACAUAAAUAAAGUUUGAUUUGAUUUCAUGUGAUGGCUUACUUUGCAUGACAGUGUUUCUAGGGAUGCUUGUUGUGCUGGGUGGGUGUGUGGCAGGCAAUCACCUUUAUGCAUCUUUUUAUGAUGGUAGUAUACUUCAAUCAGAGUCCCUGUAGCUCCUUUAACCUGCAUGAGUUAUCCUUCAUUCCUUCAAACAAUGGGAAAUAGACAGAAUUGGAGAGAAAACCCAAGGACAGUUCUACUCCCAUUGUCCUCUGGAUCGGUGGGCCUCACGCCUGGCAUGAAAAGGAACAGGAAGUCUACAUCUGAUUAAAUCUAAGAGGUAUCGAAGGGUUUUAUGGAGAACAUUCAGUACAACUGUCGGUAUCUCAUUUCAACUCAAAACAUCAAGAGGUUGCAAUAACUUCUGGUAAUUAGUAACAUUAAAGCAAGGGUACUGUGGAUCAGUGACAUAACGUUUAAUGACACUGUGUCCAACUGGAAGGACAGACUGACUGACUGACCCCCCCCCCCCCCACCCCCCCAACAGCAAUCCUGGAGGCCCAAGCUUUAGCUGUAUCAAUUUCCGAAUUUGACUGCCCCCAGAAGUCUCACCUGGAGAGUGCUUGUUCCAGACGGGGCCACUCUAAAGACAGGACUUCUAACAGCUCUAUGGCCUCUGUCUUCCUGUUUUGACAACCCCAAGACAAAUCACUGCUAUUAAACCAGUUAAAAGUCAGAUCCUCCAUGUCAAAGCCGCUACAUUUGAGGUCAAGAGUAUUAGUCAUCAGCCAACCCAUCCAUCCGUCAAGCCCUAUCUCUAUACAUGCACGUAUUUCAACAAGCUUGACUAUUACUUAAGCUGCAUUCAUGUAUAUUUCAUUAAAUGAGCCCUGAGUUAAGUGUCAUACUAUCUCUACAUUUUCCUGUUCAUCCAAGCGCACAAAAUGGAAAAGGAAAGAACAUUUCAAAGGAGAAACUAUUAAGGGAUGCAAACAUGGCAUUGGCAACCAUUUUACAAGGCACACGGCUUCACACGGCUUUACACGCACACACACACACACACACACACACACACACACACACACACACACACACACACACACACACACACACACACACACACACACACACACACCCACGGAGACAGACAGAAAUACAGAGAGAGAGAGAGAGAGAGAGAGAGAGAUAGAGAGAUAGAAAGAAAGAAAGAAACAGAUAUAGAGAGAGAGAGAGAGAGGAAGAGAGAGCGAGACAAACACACACACAUCGACAUUGCUGAUGUGUGCCACUACCUGACAAAAGGGUCAAGAGGUCCAGCUGAGAGAUGGCUUAAAAUGAUGACAUCGUUAUCAUUAUGCCACCAGUGAUGCAGGCAGAGGGCACGCAGGGUAGCACUGCAGGGUGGAGGGACAGAAAUAACAGCACUCUGUAAACAUCAUCAUCCCCUCCAGCAACACAGUCACAGAGCGCCCUGCCACUCUGUCUCACUGUGACCAUCCCCAUCAGAACACAUAGCUCUUCAGCAUUACAAUGGACAUGUGACCUGUAAGAAUACAAGAGUUGUUAUUUUUCAACACAAAUACGUGCUCCUGUUUCAGAUCUCUGUGAACAAAACAUUAGAGAGGGAUCAGUAGAACCUAUCUAUCUAGAACCUAAAAGGGUUCUUCGAGUGUUCCCAUAGGAGAACCCUUUGAAGAACCCUUUUUUGGUUCCACGUAGAACCCUAUUGGGUUCCAUGUAGAAUCCUUACCCAGACGGUUCUAAAUGGAACCCAAAAUACUUCAACCUGGAACCAAAAAGGGUUCUUCUUUGGGACAGCCGAAGAACCCUUUUGGAACCCUUUUUGUAAGAGUGUAUAUCUCACUCAGAUAGAAUAUAUCAAUCCCCUUAUCAAAGGCACAUUAACUUUGAAGCAGCUAAUGAAAAAACAUGUUCUCGACCAUGGCAAGUUGAAGCAGGAAGAUAGUUGCUACGGAGAUAAGUCCUCUGAGCGCGAGGUGUGACCUACACGUCACUGAUUUAUUCCUCCCUCUAUCCCCAUUCCCCUCAAUACCUCUUUCACCAGCGUCACAGGUCAUGUGACUAGGGUACAACACCAGCCACACUCCGUCACUGCCUGCUGUCAAAGAGGACAAAGACAGUGACAUUGCUUUUUUUCAAAGUCAUCCCUUCACAUACGACGAGUGGGAGAAAAUAUUUCUGAGUGACACCAAAGACAUCUACCUCCUGUUCGCAGCAAGUCAGCAAGUGUAAGAACGUUCUGUUAGCACAUGCCAUGGCCAGCAUCCUUCCACACACACACAUAUACACACACACAAACACAGAAAGACACUUGUGAAGAAACGUUAUGACAUUUGAGCUGUGUAAGGCAUGUCACAACUUCCCCAAGCGGGUCUGAAAGCCACAUCUGAGCAGGUGAUGGAUAUACUCAGUCCAGGGUGACAUUCAGAGAGUCUGUCCCUGUGAGUGAAUUAAAAACGCACCCACACACACAUACUAUAAUAACUUGCACACAACCAUACAUAUUUGUCUUGCCUUUUACUCCGACCCACAAUCACAUCUUUAAGGUAGAAUAUCAGUGUGUCCAGGAAGUCUAACCCAGAAAUGCAUAAUAUUUCCCUCACAGUGUAACAGUAACUCGGUGACGUUAAAAAUAGGUUGAUGAGGUGAGGCAGGAGUUACUCAAUCAGUUAUCACAACUAGCAGAUAGCUGAUGUCUCCCACAUGAAAAAUACUGUUGUAUACUAUGGUAUUAAUAAUACAGUAUUAACUGUAUUGUUUUUGCGGAAUUUAAGUCAACAAACCAACCAUCUCAUCUGCCCUGGCAGUUAUCAAAGAAAGGUAGUUGUUUGUUGGCCGUUGACUAGUCAAGAUAGAGUCACAGGUUGACAGGCGCACUAUGCACACUUCCACAAGUGGCAAACAAUGUGACAGAGUUGAGGGCAAGUAAAGUUGUUCUCUCCUCCGUAUAGUACAGUAUGACUUUGCACUGUAUUCAGGGUUCCUGUAGGGCAGUGGUUCCCAAACUUGUUAUUGUCCCGUACCCCUUCAAACAUUCAACCUCCAGCUGCGUACCCCCUCUAGUACCAGGGUCAGCGCACUCUCAAAUGUUGUUUUUUACCAUCCUUGUAAGCCAGCCACACACACACUAUACCAGGGCUGCCCAACCUUCUUCCUGGAGAUCUACUGUCCUGUAGGUUUUCAGUCCAACCCUAAUUUACCAUAUCUGAUUCAGUUGGUUAAGGUCUUGUUGAGAAGCUAAUAAGUAAAAUCAGGUGUGUAAAAAUUAGGGUUGGACUGAAAACCUACAGUGUGAGUUUUUGUCACAACCCAGCUCGUGGAAGUGACAAAGAGCUCUUAUAGGACCAGGACACAAAUAAUAAAAUAAUAAUAAUCAAUAAUUUUGCUCUUUAUUUAACCAUCUUACAUAUAAAACCUUAUUUGUUCAUCGAAAAUGGUGAAUAACUCACCACAGGUUAAUGAGAAGGGUCUGCUUGAAAGGAUGCACACACCUCUGCAAUGUUGGGUUGUAUUGGAGAGAGUCUAAGUCGUAAAUCAUUUUCCACACACAGUCUGUGCCUGUAUUUAGUUUUCAUGCUAGUGAGGGCCGAAAAUCCACUCUCACAUACAGUGCCUUGCGAAAGUAUUCGGCCCCCUUGAACUUUGCGACCUUUUGCCAUAUUUCAGGCUUCAAACAUAAAGAUAUAAAACUGUAUUUUUUUUGUGAAGAAUCAACAACAAGUGGGACACAAUCAUGAAGUGGAACGACAUUUAUUGGAUAUUUCAAACUUUUUUAACAAAGCAAAAACUGAAAAAUUGGGCGUGCAAAAUUAUUCAGCCCCUUCGGUUCAGUGAGGAUCUCUGAAUGAUCCAAUGUUGACCUAAAUGACUAAUGAUGAUUAAUACAAUCCACCUGUGUGUAAUCAAGUCUCCGUAUAAAUGCACCUGCACUGUGAUAGUCUCAGAGGUCCG
Long non-coding RNA from Oncorhynchus mykiss (rainbow trout), 5310 nucleotides. The record is from Ensembl. Lineage: Eukaryota; Metazoa; Chordata; Actinopteri; Salmoniformes; Salmonidae.